This 300-nucleotide unclassified non-coding RNA is filed under the name uncultured Helotiales. Its description in RNAcentral is "sequence contains 5.8S rRNA gene, ITS2". The stretch from base 1 to 91 matches the Rfam family "5.8S ribosomal RNA", at positions 58 to 154 of the family's 154-position model. Lineage: Eukaryota; Fungi; Ascomycota; Leotiomycetes; Helotiales. The record is from RNAcentral.
AAGAUGGGUAUAAGAGACAGGUGAGUCAUCGAAUCUUUGAACGCACAUUGCGCCCCUUGGUAUUCCGAGGGGCAUGCCUGUUCGAGCGUCAUUAUAACCAAUCACGCCCUGUGCGUGGUCUUGGGGCUCGCGGUUUCCGCGUCCCUUAAAACCAGUGGCGGUGCCGUUAGGCUCUAAGCGUAGUAAUUCUUCUCGCUAUAGGGUCCUAGUGGUCUACUUGCCAUAACCCCAAUUUUUCAAAGGUUGACCUCGGAUCAGGUAGGGAUACCCGCUGAACUUAAGCAUAUCAAUAAGCGGAGG